This is a long non-coding RNA of Solea solea (common sole), 511 nucleotides long. RefSeq lists it as uncharacterized. NCBI's taxonomy places the organism in Eukaryota, Metazoa, Chordata, Actinopteri, Pleuronectiformes, Soleidae. The record is from RefSeq and is a predicted model, not a curated record. The transcript is spliced from 5 exons.
CCACUUCUUCAAACACACCUGCUCCACAAGAGCUCCUCCAGCGAUCAGACAGGAAACCAUCUCAUAAGAUCUGACUCCAACUGCUGCAGGGAGGACACGAGGAGGAGGAGGAGGAGGAGGGGACGGAUGCACCGUCUCCAGAACAGACACCAGAGGUUGAACAACUGCUCUGUGCAGAGGAUACCAGCCCUGAUCGUCCACCUGACUGAAGGCUGCCGGGAAAUCACAGAGCUCCUGCAGAGCCGGUCGUAGGCCAGAAGGUCAUCUUCAUCCGUGUCCUCGGCUGCAUCCGUGUCCUCGGCUGCAUCCAUCCCCCUGACAUCGCACAGAGCUCAGUCGGCGUGCUGCCGCUGCUGCUGCUGCUGCUGCUGCUGAAGAGGGAGGAUGCGUCUGAGUUUGGAGCAAAUGUUGACAUGGCUGACAUAGUCCAGCAGAAUCAGCACCGCGCUCCCGGACAGAUGCAUGAGGCAGCAGAGACUCAUGAACUCGCAGAACUGAAAAGACAUGAGCG